Molecule: unclassified non-coding RNA, 313 nt
Filed under: plant metagenome
Description: partial contains 5.8S ribosomal RNA, internal transcribed spacer 2, and large subunit ribosomal RNA
Rfam family: 5.8S ribosomal RNA (bases 1-105)
Source: RNAcentral
GAAAUGCGAUACGUAGUGUGAAUUGCAGAAUUCAGUGAAUCAUCGAAUCUUUGAACGCACAUUGCGCCCUUUGGUAUUCCAAAGGGCAUGCCUGUUCGAGCGUCAUUUGUACCCUCAAGCUUUGCUUGGUGUUGGGCGUUUUUUGUCUUUGGCUCGCCCAAAGACUCGCCUUAAAACGAUUGGCAGCCGGCCUACUGGUUUCGCAGCGCAGCACAUUUUUGCGCUUCUCGAGGCGCGGCGGACCGCGUCCAGCAAGCAACCGUCACACCGUCUUUGACCUCGGAUCAGGUAGGGAUACCCGCUGAACUUAAGC